CUCGUAGGCGGCCAACUAAGUCAGACGUGAAAUCCCUCGGCUUAACCGGGGAACUGCGUCUGAUACUGGAUGGCUUGAGUGUGGGAGAGGGAUGCGGAAUUCCAGGUGUAGCGGUGAAAUGCGUAGAUAUCUGGAGGAACACCGGUGGCGAAGGCGGCAUCCUGGACCAUUACUGACGCUGAGUGAGCGAAAGCCAGGGGAGCAAACGGGAUUAGAUACCCCGGUAGUCCUGGCCCUAAACGAUGAAUGCUUGGUGUGACGGGUAUCGAUCCCUGUCGUGCCGAAGCUAACGCAUUAAGCAUUCCGCCUGGGGAGUACGGUCGCAAGGCUGAA
RNAcentral lists this ribosomal RNA (333 nucleotides) under uncultured bacterium. Its description in RNAcentral is "bacterial SSU rRNA". It matches the Rfam family "Bacterial small subunit ribosomal RNA", at positions 568 to 898 of the family's 1533-position model. The record is from RNAcentral.